GCCAGAGGUGCCAAGCGUUAGGCGGAAUCACUGGGCUUAAAGCGUGUGUAGGCGGAUUUGUAAGUACCUUGUGAAAUCCCACGGCUCAACCGUGGAACUGCUCGGUAUACUGCUUAUCUUGAGCCACUUAGGGGCUACCGGAACAAAUGGUGGAGCGGUGAAAUGCGUAGAUAUCAUUUGGAACGCCAAUGGUGAAAACAGGUAGCUGGGAGUGUGCUGACGCUGAGACACGAAAGCCAGGGGAGCGAACGGG
Molecule: ribosomal RNA, 253 nt
Filed under: uncultured bacterium
Lineage: Bacteria
Description: partial 16S ribosomal RNA
Rfam family: Bacterial small subunit ribosomal RNA
Source: RNAcentral